This 444-nucleotide ribosomal RNA is filed under the name uncultured bacterium. RNAcentral's name for it is "partial 16S ribosomal RNA". It matches the Rfam family "Bacterial small subunit ribosomal RNA", at positions 355 to 790 of the family's 1533-position model. The record is from RNAcentral.
UGGGGAAUAUUGCACAAUGGGCGCAAGCCUGAUGCAGCCAUGCCGCGUGUGUGAAGAAGGCCUUCGGGUUGUAAAGCACUUUCAGCGAGGAGGAAGGGUUCAGUGUUAAUAGCACUGUGCAUUGACGUUACUCGCAGAAGAAGCACCGGCUAACUCCGUGCCAGCAGCCGCGGUAAUACGGAGGGUGCAAGCGUUAAUCGGAAUUACUGGGCGUAAAGCGCACGCAGGCGGUUUGUUAAGUCAGAUGUGAAAUCCCCGCGCUUAACGUGGGAACUGCAUUUGAAACUGGCAAGCUAGAGUCUUGUAGAGGGGGGUAGAAUUCCAGGUGUAGCGGUGAAAUGCGUAGAGAUCUGGAGGAAUACCGGUGGCGAAGGCGGCCCCCUGGACAAAGACUGACGCUCAGGUGCGAAAGCGUGGGGAGCAAAACAGGAUUAGAUACCCUGG